CGCCUUCAGCCCCCCAAUUGAAGGUCCGACCUGCCCAGUGAACCUUUUAAACGGCCGCGGUACCCUGACCGUGCUAAGGUAGCAUAAUCCCUUGCCUUUUAAUUGAUGGCUAGUAUGAAUGGUCAGACGAGCGUAAAAUUGUCUCUAGCAAGCCCCUAUUAAACUAACCUUUAGGUGCAAAGGCCUAAACAACCAAGGAGGACAAGAAGACCCUAUCGAGCUUUAUACUAAGUGUGUCCUCAACUUUUCACUCACCUCCUAUUUUGUUGGGGCAACAAAGGACCAACCAAACCGUCCUCCUCCUUAAACUGCUAAUCAGCAUAAUCUAUUCCUAAUCCCAAGAACAAAAAUGCUACCGUAGGGAUAACAGACCAAUCCUCCCCGAGAGCCCACAUUGACGGGAGGGCUUGGCACCUCGAUGUUGGCUUAGGACUCUCUGUAAGAAGCAGCCCUCUUAUUAGUAGGUUUGUUCAACCUUUAAAGUCCUA
RNAcentral lists this ribosomal RNA (488 nucleotides) under Thysanocardia nigra. RNAcentral's name for it is "partial 16S ribosomal RNA". It matches the Rfam family "Archaeal large subunit ribosomal RNA", at positions 1921 to 2667 of the family's 2987-position model. Lineage: Eukaryota; Metazoa; Annelida; Sipuncula; Golfingiida; Golfingiidae. The record is from RNAcentral.